This 406-nucleotide ribosomal RNA is filed under the name uncultured bacterium. Its description in RNAcentral is "partial 16S ribosomal RNA". It matches the Rfam family "Bacterial small subunit ribosomal RNA", at positions 30 to 526 of the family's 1533-position model. The record is from RNAcentral.
AUUGAACGCUGGCGGCAGGCCGAACACAUGCAAGUCGAACGAGUGGCGGACGGGUGAGUAAUGUCUGGGAAACUGCCUGAUGGAGGGGGAUAACUACUGGAAACGGUAGCUAAUACCGCAUACCAUCGGAUGUGCCCAGAUGGGCUGAGCAAGAAGGUGGGGUAAAGGCUAACCUAGGCGACGAUCCCUAGCUGGUCUGAGAGGAUGACCAGCCACACGGGAACUGAGACACGGUCCAGACUCCUACGUGAGGCAGCAGUGGGGAAUAUUGCACAAUGGGCGCAAGCCUGAUGCAGCCAUGCCGCGUGUAUGAAGAAUGCCUUCGGGUUGUAAAUUACUUUCAGCCGGGAGGCGUUACCCGCAGAAGAAUCACCGGCUAACUCCGUGCCAGCCGCCGCGGUAAUAC